Molecule: ribosomal RNA, 253 nt
Filed under: uncultured bacterium
Lineage: Bacteria
Description: partial 16S ribosomal RNA
Rfam family: Bacterial small subunit ribosomal RNA
Source: RNAcentral
UACGUAGGGUGCAAGCGUUGUCCGGAAUUAUUGGGCGUAAAGAGCUCGUAGGCGGUCUGUCACGUCGGCUGUGAAAACCCGGGGCUCAACCCCGGGCCUGCAGUCGAUACGGGCAGGCUCGAGUUCGGUAGGGGAGACUGGAAUUCCUGGUGUAGCGGUGAAAUGCGUAGAGAUCGGGAGGAACACCAAUAGCGAAGGCAGCUCGCUGGGACGUUACUGACACUGAGGCGCGAAAGCGUGGGGAGCGAACAGG